This 116-nucleotide ribosomal RNA is filed under the name Streptococcus pneumoniae. The record is from RNAcentral. Lineage: Bacteria; Bacillati; Bacillota; Bacilli; Lactobacillales; Streptococcaceae.
UUAAGUGACGAUAGCCUAGGAGAUACACCUGUACCCAUGCCGAACACAGAAGUUAAGCCCUAGAACGCCGGAAGUAGUUGGGGGUUGCCCCCUGUGAGAUAGGGAAGUCGAUUAGC